This 497-nucleotide ribosomal RNA is filed under the name uncultured bacterium. Its description in RNAcentral is "partial 16S ribosomal RNA". It matches the Rfam family "Bacterial small subunit ribosomal RNA", at positions 28 to 507 of the family's 1533-position model. The record is from RNAcentral.
GAUGAACGCUGGCGGCGUGCCUAAUACAUGCAAGUCGAGCGAACGGACGAGAAGCUUGCUUUUCUGAUGUUAGCGGCGGACGGGUGAGUAACACGUGGAUAACCUACCUAUAAGACUGGGAUAACUUCGGGAAACCGGAGCUAAUACCGGAUAAUAUUUUGAACCGCAUGGUUCAAAAGUGAAAGACGGUCUUGCUGUCACUUAUAGAUGGAUCCGCGCUGCAUUAGCUAGUUGGUAAGGUAACGACUUACCAAGGCAACGAUGCAUAGCCGACCUGAGAGGGUGAUCGGCCACACUGGAACUGAGACACGGUCCAGACUCCUACGGGAGGCAGCAGUAAGGAAUCUUCCGCAAUGGGCGAAAGCCUGACGGAGCAACGCCGCGUGAGUGAUGAAGGUCUUCGGAUCGUAAAACUCUGUUAUUAGGGAAGAACAUAUGUGUAAGUAACUGUGCACAUCUUGACGGUACCUAAUCAGAAAGCCACGGCUAACUACGUG